Chlorocebus sabaeus (green monkey) is the source of this 546-nucleotide non-coding RNA. Lineage: Eukaryota; Metazoa; Chordata; Mammalia; Primates; Cercopithecidae. The record is from RefSeq and is a predicted model, not a curated record.
GGGGCCGGUGCGAGUGAGGAGAAGCUCUGCGUCCGCCGCGACUUCUCAUUGGCUCUCUGCCCCGCAGCCUACAUUGAACCCGCCGAUUGGCCGCAGCUGGGUCCGCGCUGCCUUGUGAGGAUGGACAUCUGAGGCUUUGUGACGCGAAGCUAGGCACUUGGGCCCGACGCGCGGUUUGAACAGUGCUUGAGAAGCCGUGAAGAAGCGCCUCGCGCCCAGCGGCUUCUUCGCUGACGAAGUGCUGCGGUCUGCGUGCGUCACGGCUGCGCGGAAUAGUGUGGAGGAGUCCUGGCCAGUAGGUCUGGAUGAGGAGCCUGCCUCCGGGCGGUUUGGGACCCUCACCUGCAGGGGCGAAAGAGGCCUGUUUUCUUUCGCCCCGGAGCUAGGACGGGCUCACUUUGGACUUAGAACUUUAUGGGGUGGAAGACAGCGGGGGCUGCCUGAGCUUGGAGACCAGAGGUAUCUGACCCCAUGUAUGGUUUGGCCUGAGCCGUUGAGAACGGAGGUGGAGAGAGUUGAAAUAAAAUGGGCAUCCACAUACAGUUA